CGGAUAUGUUCCUUACGUCGUAACUACAAUCCCCUUCCCUUUCAUGAAUGUGACCUACCGAAUUAGACUAUUUACCGGAUUUGUAAUCACAUAAGCAACACGACGGGUGCCACAUGUGGAGCAGGAUCUGCUUACCCUUCCGGAGCACCUGAGAUCACCCCUAGUUUUGGUGGGGUUCGUGUUGUUUAUUCUUUAGUUUUCUAUGUUGUGUCAUGUGUACUAUUGUUUUUCUGUUUGUC
This 239-nucleotide long non-coding RNA is filed under the name Mytilus galloprovincialis (Mediterranean mussel). The record is from RNAcentral. Lineage: Eukaryota; Metazoa; Mollusca; Bivalvia; Mytilida; Mytilidae.